GGUUCCGUGGUCUAGUUGGUUAUGGCGGCGCCUUAACACGGCGCAGGUCCCCGGUUCGAUCCCGGGCGGAAUCA
This 74-nucleotide transfer RNA is filed under the name Saitoella complicata NRRL Y-17804. RNAcentral describes it as "tRNA-Val". RNAcentral also lists the same sequence under 1 other name. Lineage: Eukaryota; Fungi; Ascomycota; Saitoellomycetes; Saitoellales; Saitoellaceae. The record is from RNAcentral.